GGCUGGUCUAAAGGUAGUGAGUUAUCUCAGUUGAUUGUUCACAGUCAGUUUCAGUUACAGAUUGAAUGCCUUGUUCUGCUCUUACCCCGUUCUCACUACUCGACUAGCCUAAA
This is an unclassified non-coding RNA of Homo sapiens (human), 113 nucleotides long. It matches the Rfam family "Y RNA". Rfam says of the family: Y RNAs are components of the Ro ribonucleoprotein particle (Ro RNP), in association with Ro60 and La proteins. The Y RNAs and Ro60 and La proteins are well conserved, but the function of the Ro RNP is not known. Lineage: Eukaryota; Metazoa; Chordata; Mammalia; Primates; Hominidae. The record is from Ensembl.